This is a long non-coding RNA of Anguilla anguilla (European eel), 476 nucleotides long. RefSeq lists it as uncharacterized. The record is from RefSeq and is a predicted model, not a curated record. NCBI's taxonomy places the organism in Eukaryota, Metazoa, Chordata, Actinopteri, Anguilliformes, Anguillidae. The transcript is spliced from 3 exons.
UUUUUUACUUUAAUUUUUUUUUUUUUUUUUUUUUUUUAAACAGUCAUGAGGUAAAAGGCUACUUAUAUGACAUUUCAGCCAUUUGGGAGGACUUGGUUGCUUGAUUGGCGCUGGUCUCUGAUAUGCAUAGCCGGCACACAGAGGUGAAUCCAUCCUGAGACGGCAUCGGAAGAUUGAAAUCAUAUCAGGUAAUGUCUUUCUGUGACUUUCAACCUUUUCCAGGGUUAAUGUGUUGUCAUCCAUCAUGAGUUACCUGGCCAUGUAGCCAUUUUACAUCAAUCAUUUCAUUCCCAGUUUUUUCACAAUAUUAUUUGGAAAAAAGCUACUCUUUUGUCCUUCAAAUAAAGAGCUGCCAUAAACAAUUACGCCAAAGUUAAAUAAAUGAAUUGUACGGAUUUCAUUUAGUUUAUUUAAAAAAAUAAUUCACCGUGUUCAGCCAUUUCUGUUCCCAAGAACAUGGUUGAAGAAAGAUGUGU